This 433-nucleotide ribosomal RNA is filed under the name uncultured bacterium. RNAcentral's name for it is "partial 16S ribosomal RNA". It matches the Rfam family "Bacterial small subunit ribosomal RNA", at positions 29 to 507 of the family's 1533-position model. The record is from RNAcentral.
AACGAACGCUGGCGGCAGGCCUAACACAUGCAAGUCGAGCGAGAUCUUCGGGUCUAGCGGCGGAUGGGUGAGUAACGCGUGGGAAUAUGCGUCUUGGUACGGAAUAGCCUCGGGAAACUGGGAGUAAUACCGUAUGUGCCCUUUGGGGGAAAGAUUUAUCGCCAAGAGAUUAGCCCGCGUUGGAUUAGGUAGUUGGUGGGGUAAUGGCCUACCAAGCCGACGAUCCAUAGCUGGUUUGAGAGGAUGAUCAGCCACACUGGGACUGAGACACGGCCCAGACUCCUACGGGAGGCAGCAGUGGGGAAUCUUAGACAAUGGGGGCAACCCUGAUCUAGCCAUGCCGCGUGAGUGAUGAAGGCCUUAGGGUUGUAAAGCUCUUUCAGCUGGGAAGAUAAUGACGGUACCAGCAGAAGAAGCCCCGGCUAACUCCGUG